GGCCCGGUAGCUCAGCCGGAUAGAGCAGAGCUUUCCUAAAGCUAAGGUCGGGGGUUCGAGUCCCUCCCGGGUCGCCA
RNAcentral lists this transfer RNA (77 nucleotides) under Caulobacter mirabilis. RNAcentral's name for it is "tRNA-Arg". It matches the Rfam family "tRNA". Rfam says of the family: Transfer RNA (tRNA) molecules are approximately 80 nucleotides in length. Their secondary structure includes four short double-helical elements and three loops (D, anti-codon, and T loops). Further hydrogen bonds mediate the characteristic L-shaped molecular structure. tRNAs have two regions of fundamental functional importance: the anti-codon, which is responsible for specific mRNA codon recognition, and the 3' end, to which the tRNAs corresponding amino acid is attached (by aminoacyl-tRNA synthetases). tRNAs cope with the degeneracy of the genetic code in two manners: having more than one tRNA (with a specific anti-codon) for a particular amino acid; and 'wobble' base-pairing, i.e. permitting non-standard base-pairing at the 3rd anti-codon position. Lineage: Bacteria; Pseudomonadati; Pseudomonadota; Alphaproteobacteria; Caulobacterales; Caulobacteraceae. The record is from RNAcentral. RNAcentral also lists the same sequence under 4 other names.